Molecule: ribosomal RNA, 468 nt
Filed under: uncultured bacterium
Lineage: Bacteria
Description: partial 16S ribosomal RNA
Rfam family: Bacterial small subunit ribosomal RNA
Source: RNAcentral
GACGAACGCUGGCGGCGUGCUUAACACAUGCAAGUCGAACGGAAAGGCCCUGCUUUUGUGGGGUGCUCGAGUGGCGAACGGGUGCGUAACACGUGAGUAACCUGCCCUUGACUUUGGGAUAACUUCAGGAAACUGGGGCUAAUACCGGAUAGGAGCUCCUGCUGUUUGGUGGGGGUUGGAAAGUUGCGGCGGGUGGGGAUGGACUCGCGGCUUGUCAGCUUGUUGGUGGGGUAGUGGCUUACCAAGGCAUUGACGGGCAGCCGGCCUGAGAGGGUGACCGGCCACAUUGGGACUGAGAUACGGCCCAGACUCCUACGGGAGGCAGCAGUGGGGAAUAUUGCACGAUGGGCGGAAGCCUGAUGCAGCAUCGCCGCGUGCGGGAUGACGGCCUUCGGGUUGUAAACCGCUUUCGCCUGUGACGAAGCGUGAGUGACGGUAAUGGGUAAAGAAGCACCGGCUAACUACGUG